ACGUAUUUUGCGCCCGAGGCUGCGGGAGAUGCAGUGAUGGAGUCUUGCUCUGUCACCCAGGCUGGUGCAAUCUCGGCUCACUGCAACCUCCACCUCCGGGGUUCAAGCGAUUCUUCUGCCUUAGCCUCCUGAGUAGCUGAGAUUACAGGUGACGGGGUUUGACAGCGUGGAUGAUGAGUCCAAGCACAGCGACCACAUGUUUUCCGACAAGAGCCCAAACCCGGACGUCUGGACCAGUGAGCAGAACCCACCCUACAGCUACUACCUGUACUACAUGUAUGCCAACAUCAUGGUGCUCAACAACCUCCGCAGGGAGCGCGGCCUGAGCACGUUCCUGUUCCGGCCGCACUGUGGGGAAGCCGGCUCCAUCACCCACCUGGUGUCUGCCUUCCUCACUGCUGACAACAUUUCCCACGGGCUGCUCCUCAAGAAGAGUCCGGUAUUGCAGUAUCUCUACUACCUUGCUCAGAUCCCCAUUGCCAUGUCUCCUCUUAGCAACAACAGUUUGUUCCUCGAAUAUUCCAAGAACCCUCUGAGGGAAUUCCUGCACAAGGGACUGCAUGUUUCUCUUUCCACCGAUGACCCCAUGCAGUUCCACUACACGAAGGAAGCACUUAUGGAAGAAUAUGCCAUUGCAGCUCAAGUGUGGAAGCUGAGCACCUGCGACCUGUGUGAGAUCGCCAGGAACAGCGUGCUGCAGAGCGGCCUCUCGCAUCA
This 717-nucleotide small RNA is filed under the name Pan troglodytes (chimpanzee). RNAcentral's name for it is "processed transcript". The record is from RNAcentral. Lineage: Eukaryota; Metazoa; Chordata; Mammalia; Primates; Hominidae.